Molecule: ribosomal RNA, 459 nt
Filed under: uncultured bacterium
Lineage: Bacteria
Description: bacterial SSU rRNA
Rfam family: Bacterial small subunit ribosomal RNA
Source: RNAcentral
AUUGAACGCUGGCGGAAUGCUUUACACAUGCAAGUCGAACGGUAGAGGGGGCAACCCCUCGAGAGUGGCGAACGGGUGAGUAAUAUAUCGGAACGUACCUUAUCGUGGGGGAUAACGCAGCGAAAGCUGCGCUAAUACCGCAUACGCCCUGAGGGGGAAAGCGGGGGACCGUAAGGCCUCGCGCGAUUAGAGCGGCCGAUAUCUGAUUAGCUUGUUGGUGGGUAAAAGCCCACCAAGGCGACGACGGGUAGCCGGCCUGAGAGGGUGACCGGCCACACUGGAACUGAGACACGGUCCAGACUCCUACGGGAGGCAGCAGUGGGGAAUAUUGCACAAUGGGCGCAAGCCUGAUGCAGCAACGCCGCGUGAGGGACGAAGGCCUUCGGGUUGUAAACCUCUUUAGUCAGGGAAGAAGCGAAAGUGACGGUACCUGCAGAAAAGACACCGGCUAACUACGUG